This is a long non-coding RNA of Folsomia candida, 1963 nucleotides long. RefSeq lists it as uncharacterized. The record is from RefSeq and is a predicted model, not a curated record. The transcript has 4 exons. NCBI's taxonomy places the organism in Eukaryota, Metazoa, Arthropoda, Collembola, Entomobryomorpha, Isotomidae.
AAAUUAAUUUAGGGGCUUUAGCCCAUUCCUUAGUUUUGUCCGUUUUUAACCGGUAACAUUGGCAGAAGGAAAUAAAUCUUACUUCUACCUCGAUAUUCGUACCAAGUUGAACUCUUGUAGGAAACUUUUUUACCUAAGAAUUUGGGAGCAAUAAUUUAAAUAUUUACUCAUAUAACUAACCGAUUGAUAACUUGUUUACCGCCAGACAUUUACCUUAUUCUAUAAACACUUUCAUCAUCAUCAACCUUGAUAAAUAUGGAGUCUGCCAUGUCCAAUGCAAUUAUCUUGGCUAAAAUUCUGGAAUUCAUUCCUCCCAAGGUUGCCCGAUCCGUGUCGAACUUUUGGAAUGAAAUUAUCAUUUCUCAGGGUAGGCUGGGGAUAGCAUUAUAUGACUUUUCAAAUGAACGAGAGUUCAGGUCAUUUUUGGGACAAGUGAACCCCAAAUUAACAAAAAGGGUGGAGUUCUUUGACCACAAUUUUAAUAUCUCGUACCACAUCAUGGACAAAUUUUAUUCAACUAUAAACCGCAUGAAAAUCGGUUGUGAUGAGACAGAUAUAUUCUUGGAUUUACACGGAGUGCUCCAGAACCCGAAUAAUUUACCAAAUUUGAAAACCUUAUUUAUGAACAUUUGUUUCUCUAAUUUUUCCCCCGCUGAUGACGAGAAGGUUCCGAUAAUCGCAACCUCACGGCGGAACUUGACCUGGCUACGUUUGAACUUUCUAACCGACGACGAAUAUUAUCUGGCCUGCUUUCAAAAUCUGGUUAGUAGUGCAGGAAGAUUGGAAAAAACUGGAAAUCCACACUGACUGGGCGCCCGAUUUGGGAAAGAAUAGCAAUCUGAAAUUUUUCAAAUUUCGCGGGAUCGACAAUUGGGAUAAUGCCAAAUUAUCCCAAAGUUUGACACAAGUUUCAAAAUCUUUACGGCAUUUAGUUCUCAGAGGCUACACGAGCCGAAGCCAAAGUCAAUUAUACCUUCCCGCCCUGCCAAAUCUGUCUAAGAUAGUAGUCAGGAGUGAAGGCUCAUUCCACUUCCAGUUUUCCGACCUCUCUGGCCAGGCGAUGAAGAAGCUUAAGACGGUCACGUUUUUGGUAUAUGAAGAGUAUGGAUUUCAAAAUUCGCGUGACAACUGGAGUAACCCUACCGUGACUAGACUCAGACUAACCGGACUACCGGCCCCCGAUGAGACGGAGCGUUACAAAAACUUUUUCCCAAACCUUGAAGACUUCGAGAUUGUGGCAAUUUCAGGCUUGUCUGCUUGCGAUCCCAUACAGUCUGCGAAAAUCUUCUUCGACAGGGUUGUACUCCUAAUUUCUAUUUUGAACUUAAAACGGAUUUCCAUCAAGUUUUUCUACAGUAUUGGAUGUAAGGACUUCUUCAAAACUUUAGAUGAUAAUAAAGCCUCAUUAUUUGGAAAAGAUGGCUUUUAGUAUUUCAAAUUUGAACUGUGGGAUUUUUCUAUAAAAAAUUUAACCGAUGGAGUUUCCGAUGGUGAGGACGCCCAGUUUAAUGACACGUUUUUCCGCGUUCUCUCCGCCACGAAGGGACUCAAGAAUGUCAUACUCAGCAUGAAGGCGUACCAUUUUUCGCCUGGAUUCAUUAAGAAGAUGGACUCCUUCAUUGCGGAGAAAGGGCUUCCCGCAGAACUGUUUGUUUCCACCGAAUGUGACUAAGAUGAUCAUAGCAUGAUCUAAUAUAUCAUGGGAAGAAUCUACAUAGUUGACAAGAUGUUGUAGCGGUGUACGAAUUUUAUAAAUUGCUGGGAAUGUUACGAAUAGGUAUGAAGUUUCUUGAGUGUUUGGGUUGAAAUUACAAAUCAUGUGCAGAUUUCUUAAGGUAUGAUUAUCAUAAGGUCUUAAGUUAAUCAAUUGUAUCAAACGUAAAAAUUAAUUGUAAAAUUUUCCCGCAUUGCUUUCACCUUGAUUGUGACAACCACUAAUUCGGCUUUGAUUAAAAUAAACCAG